GACGAACGCUGGCGGCGUGCUUAACACAUGCAAGUCGAACGGAAAGGCCUCUUUCGGGGGGUACUCGAGUGGCGAACGGGUGAGUAACACGUGAGUAACCUGCCCUUGACUUUGGGAUAACUUCAGGAAACUGGGGCUAAUACCGGAUAGGAGCUCCUGCUGCAUGGUGGGGGUUGGAAAGUUUCGGCGGUUGGGGAUGGACUCGCGGCUUAUCAGCUUGUUGGUGGGGUAGUGGCUUACCAAGGCUUUGACGGGUAGCCGGCCUGAGAGGGUGACCGGCCACAUUGGGACUGAGAUACGGCCCAGACUCCGACGGGAGGCAGCAGGGGGGAAUAUUGCACAAUGGGUGGAAGCCUGAUGCAGCAACGCCGUGUGCGGGAGGACGGCCUUCGGGUUGUAAACCGCUUUCGCUCAUGACGAAGCUUUGUGUGACGGUAGUGGGUAAAGAAGCACCGGCUAACUACGUG
Molecule: ribosomal RNA, 467 nt
Filed under: uncultured bacterium
Lineage: Bacteria
Description: partial 16S ribosomal RNA
Rfam family: Bacterial small subunit ribosomal RNA
Source: RNAcentral